This 301-nucleotide ribosomal RNA is filed under the name uncultured bacterium. RNAcentral describes it as "partial 16S ribosomal RNA". It matches the Rfam family "Archaeal small subunit ribosomal RNA", at positions 459 to 760 of the family's 1478-position model. The record is from RNAcentral.
CAGUCGCCGCGGGAAUACCAGCACCUCGAGUGGUCAGGAGGUUUAUUGGGCCUAAAGCAUCCGUAGCCGGUUGCAUAAGUUUUCGGUUAAAUCUAUGCGCUUAACGUAUAGGCCGCCGAAAAUACUGUGCAGCUAGGGAGUGGGAGAGGUACACGGUACUCGAUAGGAAGGGGUAAAAUCCUUUGAUCUAUUGAUGACCACCUGUGGCGAAGGCGGUGUACCAGAACACGUUCGACGGUGAGGGAUGAAAGCGUGGGGAGCAAACAGGAUUAGAUACCCGCGUAGUCCCUGUCUCUUAUAC